AGAUCCACACUCUUUCCCUACACGACACCAUUUGCUUUCUUACCUUGUGCGAUACUGGGGGUGUAGUACGUACACGCCGUCCUGGUAUUUUUCUCGCAUGGUCUCUCGGUCUAGAUUAGCCAGG
Herpailurus yagouaroundi (jaguarundi) is the source of this 124-nucleotide long non-coding RNA. RefSeq lists it as uncharacterized. NCBI's taxonomy places the organism in Eukaryota, Metazoa, Chordata, Mammalia, Carnivora, Felidae. The record is from RefSeq and is a predicted model, not a curated record. The transcript is spliced from 4 exons.